Molecule: ribosomal RNA, 481 nt
Filed under: uncultured bacterium
Lineage: Bacteria
Description: bacterial SSU rRNA
Rfam family: Bacterial small subunit ribosomal RNA
Source: RNAcentral
GAACGCUGGCGGCAUGCCUUACACAUGCAAGUCGAACGGUAGAGGGGGCAACCCCUUGGAGAGUGGCGAACGGGUGAGUAAUAUAUCGGAACGUGCCCAGUCGUGGGGGAUAACGUAGCGAAAGUUACGCUAAUACCGCAUACGAUCUACGGAUGAAAGCGGGGGACUCGCAAGAGCCUCGCGCGAUUGGAGCGGCCGAUAUCAGAUUAGGUAGUUGGUGGGGGUAAAGGCUCACCAAGCCAACGAUCUGUAGCUGGUCUGAGAGGACGACCAGCCACACUGGAACUGAGACACGGUCCAGACUCCUACGGGAGGCAGCAGUGGGGAAUUUUGGACAAUGGACGCAAGUCUGAUCCAGCCAUUCCGCGUGCAGGAUGAAGGCCCUCGGGUUGUAAACUGCUUUUGUACGGAACGAAAAGGUUUCCAUUAAUACUAGGAGCUCAUGACGGUACCGUAAGAAUAAGCACCGGCUAACUACGUG